This 673-nucleotide ribosomal RNA is filed under the name uncultured soil bacterium. RNAcentral's name for it is "bacterial SSU rRNA". It matches the Rfam family "Bacterial small subunit ribosomal RNA", at positions 56 to 736 of the family's 1533-position model. The record is from RNAcentral.
UGCAAGUCAAGGGGGCCCAGCAAUGGGCAACCGGCGAACGGGUGCGUAACACGUGAGCAACCUACCGAACUGUGGGGGAUAGCCGGCCUAACGGCCGAGUAAUACCGCAUACGCUUUCAGUGAGGCAUUUCAUUGAAAGGAACCCUACGGGACAGAUCGAGGGGCUCGCGGCCUAUCAGCUAGUUGGCGAGGUAACGGCUCACCAAGGCAACGACGGGUAGCUGGUCUGAGAGGAUGGCCAGCCACAUUGGGACUGAGAUACGGCCCAGACUCCUACGGGAGGCAGCAGUGGGGAAUCUUGCGCAAUGGCCUAACGGCUGACGCAGCGACGCCGCGUGCGGGAUGAAGCUCUUCGGAGUGUAAACUUCUUUUGGAGAGGAUGAAUGCCUACGUGAAUAACGUAGGGUGACAGUACUCUCGGAAUAAGCCACGGCUAACUACGUGCCAGCAGCCGCGGUAAUACGUAGGUGGCAAGCGAUACUCGGAAUCACUAGGCGUAAAGCGCAGGUAGGCGGUUUGGUAAGUCUUUUGUGAAAGCUCCCGGCUCAACUGGGAGAGGUCAAAGGAAACUACCGGACUAGAGUGUGGUAGGGGAUACUGGAAUUCCUGGUGUAGCGGUGAAAUGCGUAGAUAUCAGGAGGAAUACCUAUGGCGAAAGCAGGUAUCUGGGCCA